This 1287-nucleotide ribosomal RNA is filed under the name Tropicoporia centrali-africana. RNAcentral describes it as "eukaryotic LSU rRNA". It matches the Rfam family "Eukaryotic large subunit ribosomal RNA", at positions 1 to 1111 of the family's 3401-position model. The record is from RNAcentral. Lineage: Eukaryota; Fungi; Basidiomycota; Agaricomycetes; Polyporales; Polyporaceae.
CUCCGGGGCUUACUCCGCUGAAGAAAAAUAAGGAAGAUUUUCCCCUUCAGGGUUUUUGGGUAUCCCGCUGAAAAUAAGCAUAUCAAUAAGCGGAGGAAAAGAAACUAACAAGGAUUCCCCUAGUAACUGCGAGUGAAGCCGGGAAAAGCUCAAAUUUAAAAUCUGGCGGUCUUUGGCCGUCCGAGUUGUAGUCUGGAGAAGUGCUUUCCGCGCUGGACCGUGUAUAAGUCUCUUGGAACAGAGCGUCAUAGAGGGUGAGAAUCCCGUCUUUGACACGGACUACCAGUGCUUUGUGAUGCGCUCUCAAAGAGUCGAGUUGUUUGGGAAUGCAGCUCAAAAUGGGUGGUGAAUUCCAUCUAAAGCUAAAUAUUGGCGAGAGACCGAUAGCGAACAAGUACCGUGAGGGAAAGAUGAAAAGCACUUUGGAAAGAGAGUUAAACAGUACGUGAAAUUGCUGAAAGGGAAACGCUUGAAGUCAGUCGCGUCGGCCGGAACUCAGCCUUGCUUUUGCUUGGUGCACUUUCCGGUUGACGGGCCAGCAUCGAUUUUGACCGUCGGAAAAGGGCUAGAGUAAUGUGGCACCUCCGGGUGUGUUAUAGACUCUAGUCGCAUACGGCGGUUGGGAUCGAGGAACGCAGCGCGCCGCAAGGCAGGGGUUCGCCCACUUUCGCGCUUAGGAUGCUGGCAUAAUGGCUUUAAACGACCCGUCUUGAAACACGGACCAAGGAGUCUAACAUACCUGCGAGUGUUUGGGUGGAAAACCCGAGCGCGUAAUGAAAGUGAAAGUUGGGACCUCUGUCGUGGAGGGCACCGACGCCCGGACCUGACGUUCUCUGACGGAUCCGCGGUAGAGCAUGUAUGUUGGGACCCGAAAGAUGGUGAACUAUGCCUGAAUAGGGUGAAGCCAGAGGAAACUCUGGUGGAGGCUCGUAGCGAUUCUGACGUGCAAAUCGAUCGUCUAAAUUUGGGUAUAGGGGCGAAUGACUAAUCGAACCAGUCUGGUAGCUGGUUCCUGCCGAGUUUCCCUCAGGAAGAACACCAUGCUAGGGAAAAAUGUUUCCAUUUAGUUCUUUCGCCCUAUACCCAAAUUUGAAGAUCGAUUUUGCACGUCAGAUCGCUACGAGCUCCCAAAAUUUCUCUGGCUUCACUUAUUUCGGGCAUAAGUACAAUUUUUCGGGUCCCAAUAAAUGGUCUCACCCGGACUACUCAAAAAGAUAGAGGUCGUGCUGGUUCCCACGAAAAGACCCCCUAUCUUUUAUCAGUGGUUUCUCUCACACCAGAGAUGAU